This 89-nucleotide transfer RNA is filed under the name Fibrobacter sp. Its description in RNAcentral is "tRNA-Ser". It matches the Rfam family "tRNA". From Rfam's summary of the family: Transfer RNA (tRNA) molecules are approximately 80 nucleotides in length. Their secondary structure includes four short double-helical elements and three loops (D, anti-codon, and T loops). Lineage: Bacteria; Pseudomonadati; Fibrobacterota; Fibrobacteria; Fibrobacterales; Fibrobacteraceae. The record is from RNAcentral. RNAcentral also lists the same sequence under 1 other name.
GGAGAGGUGCCCGAGUGGUUGAAGGGGGCGGUCUCGAAAACCGUUGAACCGGGCAACUGGUUCCCAGGGUUCGAAUCCCUGCCUCUCCG